UACAGAGGGGGCAAGCGUUGAUCGGAAUUACUGGGCGUAAAGGGCGCGUAGGCGGCCCGCUAAGUCGAACGUGAAAUCCCCGAGCUCAACUCGGGAACUGCGUCCGAUACUGGCGGGCUUGAAUCCGGGAGAGGGAUGCGGAAUUCCAGGUGUAGCGGUGAAAUGCGUAGAUAUCUGGAGGAACACCGGUGGCGAAGGCGGCAUCCUGGACCGGCAUUGACGCUGAGGCGCGAAAGCUAGGGGAGCAAACGGG
Molecule: ribosomal RNA, 253 nt
Filed under: uncultured bacterium
Lineage: Bacteria
Description: partial 16S ribosomal RNA
Rfam family: Bacterial small subunit ribosomal RNA
Source: RNAcentral